Molecule: transfer RNA, 56 nt
Filed under: Cryptomitrium sp. Schill & Clark 180
Lineage: Eukaryota; Viridiplantae; Streptophyta; Marchantiopsida; Marchantiales; Aytoniaceae
Description: partial tRNA-Phe
Rfam family: tRNA
About the family: Transfer RNA (tRNA) molecules are approximately 80 nucleotides in length. Their secondary structure includes four short double-helical elements and three loops (D, anti-codon, and T loops).
Source: RNAcentral
GCCGGAAUAGCUCAGUUGGUAGAGCAGAGGACUGAAAAUCCUCGUGUCACCAGUAC